UGCCAGCCGCCGCGGUAAUACGAAGGUCCCAAGCGUUGUUCGGAAUCACUGGGCGUAAAGCGUGUGUAGGCUGCGCGGAAAGUCAAAUGUGAAAGCCCGGGGCUCAACCUCGGAACUGCAUUCGAUACUCCCGUGCUAGAGUAAUGGAGAGGUAAGUGGAAUUCCUGGUGUAGCAGUGAAAUGCGUGGAUAUCAGGAGGAACAUCAAUGGCGAAGGCGACUCUCUGGGCCAAUACUGACGCUGAGGUUCGAAAGCAUGGGUAGCAAACAGGAUUAGAUA
RNAcentral lists this ribosomal RNA (279 nucleotides) under uncultured bacterium. RNAcentral describes it as "partial 16S ribosomal RNA". It matches the Rfam family "Bacterial small subunit ribosomal RNA", at positions 506 to 784 of the family's 1533-position model. The record is from RNAcentral.